AGUGGCGAACGGGUGAGUAAAGCAUCGGAACGUGCCCAGUAGUGGGGGAUAGCCCGGCGAAAGCCGGAUUAAUACCGCAUACGACCUAAGGGUGAAAGGGGGGGAUCGCAAGACCUCUCGCUAUUGGAGCGGCCGAUGUCAGAUUAGCUAGUUGGUGGGGUAAAGGCCUACCAAGGCGACGAUCUGUAGCUGGUCUGAGAGGACGACCAGCCACACUGGGACUGAGACACGGCCCAGACUCCUACGGGAGGCAGCAGUGGGGAAUUUUGGACAAUGGACGAAAGUCUGAUCCAGCCAUGCCGCGUGCGGGAAGAAGGCCUUCGGGUUGUAAACCGCUUUUGCCAGGGAAGAAAUCUUCUGGGUUAAUAACUCGGGAGGAUGACGGUACCUGAAGAAUAAGCACCGGCUAACUACGUGCCAGCAGCCGCGGUAAUACGUAGGGUGCAAGCGUUAAUCGGAAUUACUGGGCGUAAAGCGUGCGCAGGCGGUUAUGCAAGACAGAUGUGAAAUCCCCGGGCUCAACCUGGGAACUGCAUUUGUGACUGCAUAGCUGGAGUGCGGCAGAGGGGGAUGGAAUUCCGCGUGUAGCGGUGAAAUGCGUAGAUAUGCGGAGGAACACCGAUGGCGAAGGCAAUCCCC
Molecule: ribosomal RNA, 639 nt
Filed under: uncultured marine bacterium
Lineage: Bacteria
Description: bacterial SSU rRNA
Rfam family: Bacterial small subunit ribosomal RNA
Source: RNAcentral